UUUCCGUAGGUGAACCUGCGGAAGGAUCAUUAAUGGGAAAUCAAAUCAAAUCAAAACAAAUGUUCUGUUGCACUGGGUGUGCUGUGUGGUGGUGUGAGACAUGGAGAUUCAAUCAUUGGAGAUUCAAUCAUUGGAGAUUCAAUCAUUGGAGAUUCAAUCAUUGGAAUUUCAAUCAUUGGAGAUUCAAUCAUUCAAUCUCAAUCAUCGCCACACAACACAACUAUCUAUCACACUCGAUCAACAACAACACACUCACACACAACAGCAAACAACUUUUAACAAUGGAUCUCUUGGCUCUU
This 299-nucleotide unclassified non-coding RNA is filed under the name plant metagenome. RNAcentral's name for it is "partial contains small subunit ribosomal RNA, internal transcribed spacer 1, and 5.8S ribosomal RNA". The record is from RNAcentral.